UACGUAGGGUGCGAGCGUUAAUCGGAAUUACUGGGCGUAAAGUGUGCGCAGGCGGCAGAGCAAGUCGAGUGUGAAAGCCCCGGGCUUAACUUGGGAAUUGCGCUCGAAACUACUUUGCUGGAGUGUGGCAGAGGAAGGUGGAAUUCCACGUGUAGCGGUGAAAUGCGUAGAGAUGUGGAGGAACACCAAUGGCGAAGGCGGCGCUCUGGCUCGCAACUGACGCUCAGACACGACAGCAUGGGGAGCGAACGGG
Molecule: ribosomal RNA, 253 nt
Filed under: uncultured bacterium
Lineage: Bacteria
Description: partial 16S ribosomal RNA
Rfam family: Bacterial small subunit ribosomal RNA
Source: RNAcentral